This 385-nucleotide ribosomal RNA is filed under the name uncultured bacterium. RNAcentral describes it as "bacterial SSU rRNA". It matches the Rfam family "Bacterial small subunit ribosomal RNA", at positions 29 to 416 of the family's 1533-position model. The record is from RNAcentral.
AUUAAACGCUGGCGGCAUGCCUUACACAUGCAAGUCGAACGGCAGCACGGGGGCAACCCUGGUGGCGAGUGGCGGACGGGUGAGGAAUACAUCGGGAUCUACCCUGUUGUGGGGGGAUAACGUAGGGAAACUUACGCUAAUACCGCAUAAGAACUGAGGUUGAAAGCGGCGGACCGCAAGGCGUCGCGCGAUUGGAUGAACCGAUGUCCGAUUAGCUAGUUGGCGGGUAAAGCCCACCAAGGCGACGAUCGGUAGCUGGUCUGAGAGGACGACCAGCCACACUGGAACUGAGACACGGUCCAGACUCCUACGGGAGGCAGCAGUGGGGAAUAUUGGACAAUGGGCGCAAGCCUGAUCCAGCCAUGCCGCGUGAGUGAAGAAGGCC